This 87-nucleotide transfer RNA is filed under the name Alteromonas sp. Its description in RNAcentral is "tRNA-Leu". It matches the Rfam family "tRNA". From Rfam's summary of the family: Transfer RNA (tRNA) molecules are approximately 80 nucleotides in length. Their secondary structure includes four short double-helical elements and three loops (D, anti-codon, and T loops). Further hydrogen bonds mediate the characteristic L-shaped molecular structure. tRNAs have two regions of fundamental functional importance: the anti-codon, which is responsible for specific mRNA codon recognition, and the 3' end, to which the tRNAs corresponding amino acid is attached (by aminoacyl-tRNA synthetases). tRNAs cope with the degeneracy of the genetic code in two manners: having more than one tRNA (with a specific anti-codon) for a particular amino acid; and 'wobble' base-pairing, i.e. permitting non-standard base-pairing at the 3rd anti-codon position. Lineage: Bacteria; Pseudomonadati; Pseudomonadota; Gammaproteobacteria; Alteromonadales; Alteromonadaceae. The record is from RNAcentral.
GCCAGAGUGGCGAAAUUGGUAGACGCAGCGGAUUCAAAAUCCGCCGGUAGAAAUACUGUGCCGGUUCAAGUCCGGCCUCUGGUACCA